RNAcentral lists this ribosomal RNA (443 nucleotides) under uncultured bacterium. RNAcentral describes it as "partial 16S ribosomal RNA". It matches the Rfam family "Bacterial small subunit ribosomal RNA", at positions 338 to 795 of the family's 1533-position model. The record is from RNAcentral.
CCUACGGGAGGCUGCAGUGGGGAAUAUUGGACAAUGGGGGGAACCCUGAUCCAGCAACGCCGCGUGAGGGAAGAAGGUUUUCGGUAUGUAAACCUCUAUCAUCAGGGAAGAAGAAAAUGACGGUACCGGACGAAGAAGCCACGGCUAACUACGUGCCAGCAGCCGCGGUAAUACGUAGGGGGCAAGCGUUAUCCGGAUUUACUGGGUGUAAAGGGCGAGUAGGCGGGGAUGCAAGUCAGAAGUGAAAACCAGGGGCUCAACCCAUGGAGUGCUUUUGAAACUGCAGUGCUGGAGUGAAGGAGAGGUAAGCGGAAUUCCCGGUGUAGCGGUGGAAUGCGUAGAUAUCGGGAGGAACACCAGUGGCGAAGGCGGCCUACUGGACUUUAACUGACGCUGAGGCUCGAAAGCGUGGGGAGCAAACAGGAUUAGAUACCCUAGUAGUC